Molecule: long non-coding RNA, 239 nt
Filed under: Elaeis guineensis (African oil palm)
Lineage: Eukaryota; Viridiplantae; Streptophyta; Magnoliopsida; Arecales; Arecaceae
Description: long non-coding RNA (EGUI_LNC035760)
Source: RNAcentral
CGAGCUCUCGGUUCCAGUCGUUAUUAGGGAUUGCUUUAAGUUUUCGACUUCUUCCUCCAGUUCCAUCUUUCUCAGCAGUAUCUAUCGGUACAUCUGGUGGAACCACCGGCUUUCGCCCUUCGACUCCUGAAGCCUCUUCGUCAGGACCUCAGACUCCACCUCGGCAUCUUUGAUCGCCUGCUACUCGUAGGCCAGCUGAAUCUUCAGUCGCUAUAGUUCGGCCUUCUUCUGCCUAAGGG